UAAAGAUUCAGUUUCUUUAAAUUUAGUAUAUAUUAUCUGUGAUACAAACACACUGCAUGCAUAGCUUUCACCGGGAUCACUCUAUAUCACUCCCACAGGACUUGUGGGACAGGAGAAACCAACAUGAAUAUGAAGUGCAUGCUGCUUGCUGGACUAGAGAAAAGGACACAUAGAGACACAGAGAAGGAGACUAUGUGAAGAUGGAGGAAGAGACUAAAGUGAUCCAGCUACAAACCAAGGUUUAUAACGCAAACUGUUAUAGGAACACCUUUCCCAAUCUUCUGGAAUGUAGGCAUGACAGGUGACUAAGAGGGCCAAAGAAAUACAACUAAACUUUGUAUAUAAGGGAAAGAAUAAAUCCUUUCUCUUUUCUUUCUCAUUUCUGCUGCCUUGAAUAUAGAUACAAUGCCUCAAGGAUCAACAUCUCUCUUAGCUCAGGAGCUGGCCUUGAGGGUGAGGUCAUGAAUGACUCACCAAAAAGAAAGAAAGAAAUUGUGUUUGUGAUAAAUUUAUGGAGUCACCAUAACUACUUGAACUACUUUCUUGCCUGGUAUGUUUAUGUUACUGUGUUUAAGUCUACAUUACUCUAAUCCAAACCUACUCUUAACUAGUACUUUAGUUUGUAUUGGAAAGAAAAGUACUCAAAAUAAAAGAACUUAAAAAUUGAAUUUGGCUAAAUAAAGGAUUUGAGGCAUUGGGGAAGUGGCGACAGAUUUUAUAGGCUGAAAAGCUGGGAAGCUUUACCAAUCUGUGAUAAAAGAUUUUACAGAUAAUUCAUUCUACUUUAGAAGUCUUGCUAUAUACCUAUCACUAAAACAA
This is a non-coding RNA of Equus caballus (horse), 819 nucleotides long. The record is from RefSeq and is a predicted model, not a curated record. Lineage: Eukaryota; Metazoa; Chordata; Mammalia; Perissodactyla; Equidae.